Molecule: ribosomal RNA, 1368 nt
Filed under: Georgenia sp. FXJ6.328
Lineage: Bacteria; Bacillati; Actinomycetota; Actinomycetes; Allobogoriellales; Allobogoriellaceae
Description: bacterial SSU rRNA
Rfam family: Bacterial small subunit ribosomal RNA
Source: RNAcentral
UCGAACGAUGAUGCCCAGCUUGCUGGGUGGAUUAGUGGCGAACGGGUGAGUAACACGUGAGUAACCUGCCCCUGACUUCGGGAUAACUCCGAGAAAUCGGUGCUAAUACCGGAUAUUUACGCGUGCCCGCAUGGGUGUGUGUGGAAAGAUUUAUCGGUGAGGGAUGGACUCGCGGCCUAUCAGCUUGUUGGUGGGGUAAUGGCCUACCAAGGCGACGACGGGUAGCCGGCCUGAGAGGGUGACCGGCCACACUGGGAGUGAGACACGGCCCAGACUCUUACGGGAGGCAGCAGUGGGGAAUAUUGCACAAUGGGCGCAAGCCUGAUGCAGCGACGCCGCGUGAGGGAUGACGGCCUUCGGGUUGUAAACCUCUUUCAGUAGGGAAGAAGCCUUCGGGUGACGGUACCUGCAGAAGAAGCGCCGGCUAACUACGUGCCAGCAGCCGCGGUAAUACGUAGGGCGCAAGCGUUGUCCGGAAUUAUUGGGCGUAAAGAGCUCGUAGGCGGUUUGUCGCGUCUGCUGUGAAAACGCAAGGCUUAACCUUGCGCCUGCAGUGGGUACGGGCAGACUAGAGUGCGGUAGGGGAGACUGGAAUUCCUGGUGUAGCGGUGGAAUGCGCAGAUAUCAGGAGGAACACCGAUGGCGAAGGCAGGUCUCUGGGCGUUACUGACGCUGAGGAGCGAAAGCAUGGGGAGCGAACAGGAUUAGAUACCCUGGUAGUCCAUGCCGUAAACGUUGGGCACUAGGUGUGGGAUCCAUUCCACGGGUUCCGUGCCGCAGCUAACGCAUUAAGUGCCCCGCCUGGGGAGUACGGCCGCAAGGCUAAAACUCAAAGGAAUUGACGGGGGCCCGCACAAGCGGCGGAGCAUGCGGAUUAAUUCGAUGCAACGCGAAGAACCUUACCAAGGCUUGACAUACACCGGAAAAGUGCAGAGAUGUGCUCCCCGUAAGGUCGGUGUACAGGUGGUGCAUGGUUGUCGUCAGCUCGUGUCGUGAGAUGUUGGGUUAAGUCCCGCAACGAGCGCAACCCUUGUCCUGUGUUGCCAGCACGUAAUGGUGGGGACUCAUAGGAGACUGCCGGGGUCAACUCGGAGGAAGGUGGGGAUGACGUCAAAUCAUCAUGCCCCUUAUGUCUUGGGCUUCACGCAUGCUACAAUGGCCGGUACAAAGGGCUGCGAUACCGCGAGGUGGAGCGAAUCCCAAAAAGCCGGUCUCAGUUCGGAUUGGGGUCUGCAACUCGACCCCAUGAAGUCGGAGUCGCUAGUAAUCGCAGAUCAGCAACGCUGCGGUGAAUACGUUCUCGGGCCUUGUACACACCGCCCGUCACGUCAUGAAAGUCGGUAACACCCGAAGCCGGUGGCCCAACCC